GCAUCGGUGGUUCAGUGGUAGAAUGCUCACCUGCCAUCCGGUCGCCCGGGUUCGAUUCCCGGCCGAUGCA
Molecule: transfer RNA, 70 nt
Filed under: Heliconius melpomene (postman butterfly)
Lineage: Eukaryota; Metazoa; Arthropoda; Insecta; Lepidoptera; Nymphalidae
Description: tRNA HMEL003466
Rfam family: tRNA
About the family: Transfer RNA (tRNA) molecules are approximately 80 nucleotides in length.
Source: RNAcentral